Molecule: non-coding RNA, 83 nt
Organism: Cricetulus griseus (Chinese hamster)
Lineage: Eukaryota; Metazoa; Chordata; Mammalia; Rodentia; Cricetidae
Source: Rfam
AUCAGGAUGGCCGAUCCGUCUAAGGUGCUGCGUUCAGGUCGCAGUCUCCACUGGAGGCAUGGGUUCGAAUCCCACUCCCGACA